GGGGGAGUCUAACUGGCAGUCCGAAGCCGAAAAAUAUGAGAGCUUGGCUUCUGAUAUUUUAAGCGGCGGACGGGUGAGUAACGUGUGGGCAACCUACCUUUUACUGUGGAAUAAUCGUUGGAAACGACGACUAAUACCGCAUACGAUUUUCUGAAGGCAUCUUUGGGAAAGGAAAGGAAAUAUUCGGUAAAAGAUGGGCCCGCAUCUGAUUAGCUAGUUGGUGAGAUAAUAGCCCACCAAGGCAACGAUCAGUAGCCGACCUGAGAGGGUGACCGGCCACAUUGGGACUGAGACACGGCCCAAACUCCUACGGGAGGCAGCAGUGGGGAAUAUUGCACAAUGGGCGAAAGCCUGAUGCAGCAACGCCGCGUGAAGGAAGACGGUUUUCGGAUUGUAAACUUCUAUCAAUAGGGAAGAAAGAAAUGACGGUACCUAAAUAAGAAGCCCCGGCUAACUACGUGCCAGCAGCCGCGGUAAUACGUAGGGGGCAAGCGUUAUCCGGAAUUACUGGGUGUAAAGGGAGAGUAGGCGGCAAGGUAAGCGAUAUGUGAAAGCCUUAGGCUUAACCAAAGGAUUGCAUAACGAACUAUCUAGCUAGAGUACAGGAGAGGAAAGCGGAAUUCCUAGUGUAGCGGUGAAAUGCGUAGAUAUUAGGAAGAACACCAGUGGCGAAGGCGGCUUUCUGGACUGAAACUGACGC
Molecule: ribosomal RNA, 700 nt
Filed under: uncultured bacterium
Lineage: Bacteria
Description: bacterial SSU rRNA
Rfam family: Bacterial small subunit ribosomal RNA
Source: RNAcentral